Molecule: ribosomal RNA, 256 nt
Filed under: uncultured bacterium
Lineage: Bacteria
Description: partial 16S ribosomal RNA
Rfam family: Bacterial small subunit ribosomal RNA
Source: RNAcentral
CGAACGGGUGAGUAAUACAUCGGAACGUGUCCGCUCGUGGGGGACGAACCAGCCGAAAGGUUGGCUAAUACCGCAUGAGUUCUACGGAAGAAAGAGGGGGACCCGCAAGGGCCUCUCGCGAGCGGAAGCGGCCGAUGACUGAUUAGCCGGUUGGUGAGGUAACGGCUCACCAAAGCAACGAUCAGUAGCUGGUCUGAGAGGACGACCAGCCACACUGGGACUGAGACACGGCCCAGACUCCUACGGAAGGCAGCAG